This 1369-nucleotide ribosomal RNA is filed under the name uncultured bacterium. Its description in RNAcentral is "bacterial SSU rRNA". It matches the Rfam family "Bacterial small subunit ribosomal RNA", at positions 28 to 1381 of the family's 1533-position model. The record is from RNAcentral.
GACGAACGCUGGCGGCGUGCCUAAUACAUGCAAGUAGAACGCUGAAGAGAGGAGCUUGCUCUUCUUGGAUGAGUUGCGAACGGGUGAGUAACGCGUAGGUAACCUGCCUUGUAGCGGGGGAUAACUAUUGGAAACGAUAGCUAAUACCGCAUAACAAUGGAUGACACAUGUCAUUUAUUUGAAAGGGGCAAUUGCUCCACUACAAGAUGGACCUGCGUUGUAUUAGCUAGUAGGUGAGGUAACGGCUCACCUAGGCGACGAUACAUAGCCGACCUGAGAGGGUGAUCGGCCACACUGGGACUGAGACACGGCCCAGACUCCUACGGGAGGCAGCAGUAGGGAAUCUUCGGCAAUGGGGGCAACCCUGACCGAGCAACGCCGCGUGAGUGAAGAAGGUUUUCGGAUCGUAAAGCUCUGUUGUAAGUCAAGGACGAGUGUGAGAGUGGAAAGUUCACACUGUGACGGUAGCUUACCAGAAAGGGACGGCUAACUACGUGCCAGCAGCCGCGGUAAUACGUAGGUCCCGAGCGUUGUCCGGAUUUAUUGGGCGUAAAGCGAGCGCAGGCGGUUUGAUAAGUCUGAAGUUAAAGGCUGUGGCUCAACCAUAGUUCGCUUUGGAAACUGUCAAACUUGAGUGCAGAAGGGGAGAGUGGAAUUCCAUGUGUAGCGGUGAAAUGCGUAGAUAUAUGGAGGAACACCGGUGGCGAAAGCGGCUCUCUGGUCUGUAACUGACGCUGAGGCUCGAAAGCGUGGGGAGCGAACAGGAUUAGAUACCCUGGUAGUCCACGCCGUAAACGAUGAGUGCUAGGUGUUGGAUCCUUUCCGGGAUUCAGUGCCGCAGCUAACGCAUUAAGCACUCCGCCUGGGGAGUACGACCGCAAGGUUGAAACUCAAAGGAAUUGACGGGGGCCCGCACAAGCGGUGGAGCAUGUGGUUUAAUUCGAAGCAACGCGAAGAACCUUACCAGGUCUUGACAUCCCGAUGCUAUUUCUAGAGAUAGAAAGUUACUUCGGUACAUCGGUGACAGGUGGUGCAUGGUUGUCGUCAGCUCGUGUCGUGAGAUGUUGGGUUAAGUCCCGCAACGAGCGCAACCCCUAUUGUUAGUUGCCAUCAUUCAGUUGGGCACUCUAGCGAGACUGCCGGUAAUAAACCGGAGGAAGGUGGGGAUGACGUCAAAUCAUCAUGCCCCUUAUGACCUGGGCUACACACGUGCUACAAUGGUUGGUACAACGAGUUGCGAGUCGGUGACGGCAAGCUAAUCUCUUAAAGCCAAUCUCAGUUCGGAUUGUAGGCUGCAACUCGCCUACAUGAAGUCGGAAUCGCUAGUAAUCGCGGAUCAGCACGCCGCGGUGAAUACGUUCCCGGGCCU